UGCAAUCUUGGUGUCUACACAGAAGGAUGG
RNAcentral lists this non-coding RNA (30 nucleotides) under Mus musculus (house mouse). Lineage: Eukaryota; Metazoa; Chordata; Mammalia; Rodentia; Muridae. The record is from RNAcentral.